GGGUGCUCGAGUGGCGAACGGGUGAGUAACACGUGAGUAACCUGCCCUUGACUUUGGGAUAACUUCAGGAAACUUGGGCUAAUACCGGAUAGGAGCUCCUGCUGCAUGGUGGGGGUUGGAAAGUUUCGGCGGUUGGGGAUGGACUCGCGGCUUAUCAGCUUGUUGGUGGGGUAGUGGCUUACCAAGGCUUUGACGGGUAGCCGGCCUGAGAGGGUGACCGGCCACAUUGGGACUGAGAUACGGCCCAG
RNAcentral lists this ribosomal RNA (248 nucleotides) under uncultured Actinomycetales bacterium. RNAcentral's name for it is "partial 16S ribosomal RNA". It matches the Rfam family "Bacterial small subunit ribosomal RNA", at positions 85 to 334 of the family's 1533-position model. Lineage: Bacteria; Bacillati; Actinomycetota; Actinomycetes; Actinomycetales. The record is from RNAcentral.